UAGGGAAUCUUCCACAAUGGACGCAAGUCUGAUGGAGCAACGCCGCGUGAGUGAAGAAGGUUUUCGGAUCGUAAAGCUCUGUUGUUGGUGAAGAAGGAUAGAGGCAGUAACUGGUCUUUAUUUGACGGUAAUCAACCAGAAAGUCACGGCUAACUACGUGCCAGCAGCCGCGGUAAUACGUAGGUGGCAAGCGUUGUCCGGAUUUAUUGGGCGUAAAGCGAGCGCAGGCGGAAUGAUAAGUCUGAUGUGAAAGCCCACGGCUCAACCGUGGAACUGCAUCGGAAACUGUCAUUCUUGAGUGCAGAAGAGGAGAGUGGAAUUCCAUGUGUAGCGGUGGAUUGCGUAGAUAUAUGGAAGAACACCAGUGGCGAAGGCGGCUCUCUGGUCUGCAACUGACGCUGAGGCUCGAAAGCAUGGGUAGCGAACAGG
Molecule: ribosomal RNA, 429 nt
Filed under: bacterium
Lineage: Bacteria
Description: partial 16S ribosomal RNA
Rfam family: Bacterial small subunit ribosomal RNA
Source: RNAcentral